CCUCAGAUCUGUGUUAAACAAGAUGAGAUUUCUUUUAGUCUCUUUAGCAUUGCUUCUAACAAUUCAUACGUCUGAUGGAGUCAACAUUGUUCAGGAUCCCAAAAUAUCAUUUGUGAGCCAGAGUUCAUCUGUGAUGCUACAUUGUACACAAGAUAAGACUAACCACAACAUGAUGUCCUGGUACAGACGAAGACAAGACACACAGGAUCUUGAACUGCUGGCUUUUUCUGUCGGUAAAGACAAUGCUAAAAUUGAGCCUCCGUUUGAUAAAGCUGAUAAAUACGUAAUGACCCGUCCAGAGGUGCUGAAGGGAACGCUGCAGAUAGAGAAGCUGGAGGCUGCAGACUCUGCUUUAUAUUACUGUGCUACAAGUCUGACACAGUAACUCAG
Molecule: non-coding RNA, 390 nt
Organism: Astyanax mexicanus (Mexican tetra)
Lineage: Eukaryota; Metazoa; Chordata; Actinopteri; Characiformes; Acestrorhamphidae
Source: the annotation of a RefSeq genome assembly